UUGCUGUACUUUUCAUUGAUUUUUUUUUUUUAUAGUCCUUUUCAUGUGCAACCAUAAGAAGCUUAUGAGGAUCGUGAUGGUGAAAGUAUUUACUAUUAAAUUCUUUCUUAUUGUCUUUUUUCACAUGCAACCAUAGGAAGCUCUGGAGGAUCAUGAUGGUGCAAGUAAAGGGAAAUACACUAUUGGACUUGGGCAAGAUUGCAUGGCCUUUUGUACGGAGUUGGAAGAUGUCAUUUCUAUGAGCUUGACAGUUGUUACUUCCCUUCUUGAGAAAUAUGGGAUUGACCUAUGAUAAAUUGGUUGCCUGGAAGUGGGCAGUGAGACUGUGAUAGACGAGCAAAUCCAUAUAGACUUGGCUGAUGCAAAUCUUUGAGGAAUUGGGGAAUACGGACAUCGAAGGAGCUGAUUCAACAAAUGCAUGCUAUGGAGGAACUGCAGCUUUAUUCAACUGUGUAAAUUGGGUGGAGAGUAGCUCUUGGGAUGGACGUUAUGGAC
Molecule: long non-coding RNA, 495 nt
Organism: Magnolia sinica
Lineage: Eukaryota; Viridiplantae; Streptophyta; Magnoliopsida; Magnoliales; Magnoliaceae
Exons: 3
Source: RefSeq, a predicted model, not a curated record